GAAGGGCGUGCUAAUCUGCGAUAAGCGCCGGUAAGGUGAUAUGAACCGUUAUAACCGGCGAUACCCGAAUGGGGAAACCCAGUGUGAUUCGUCACACUAUCAUUAACUGAAUCCAUAGGUUAAUGAGGCGAACCGGGGGAACUGAAACAUCUAAGUACCCCGAGGAAAAGAAAUCAACCGAGAUUCCCCCAGUAGCGGCGAGCGAACGGGGAGGAGCCCAGAGCCUGAAUCAGCAUGUGUGUUAGUGGAAGCGUCUGGAAAGGCGCGCGAUACAGGGUGACAGCCCCGUACACAAAAGCGCAUGUGCUGUGAGCUCGAUGAGUAGGGCGGGACACGUGGUAUCCUGUCUGAAUAUGGGGGGACCAUCCUCCAAGGCUAAAUACUCCUGACUGACCGAUAGUGAACCAGUACCGUGAGGGAAAGGCGAAAAGAACCCCGGCGAGGGGAGUGAAAAAGAACCUGAAACCGUGUACGUACAAGCAGUGGGAGCACCCUUUGGG
RNAcentral lists this ribosomal RNA (500 nucleotides) under Salmonella enterica subsp. enterica serovar Enteritidis. RNAcentral's name for it is "partial 23S ribosomal RNA". It matches the Rfam family "Bacterial large subunit ribosomal RNA", at positions 51 to 590 of the family's 2925-position model. Lineage: Bacteria; Pseudomonadati; Pseudomonadota; Gammaproteobacteria; Enterobacterales; Enterobacteriaceae. The record is from RNAcentral.